This 590-nucleotide ribosomal RNA is filed under the name uncultured Thiobacillus sp. RNAcentral's name for it is "bacterial SSU rRNA". It matches the Rfam family "Bacterial small subunit ribosomal RNA", at positions 335 to 916 of the family's 1533-position model. The record is from RNAcentral. Lineage: Bacteria; Pseudomonadati; Pseudomonadota; Betaproteobacteria; Nitrosomonadales; Thiobacillaceae.
ACUCCUACGGGAGGCAGCAGUGGGGAAUUUUGGACAAUGGGGGCAACCCUGAUCCAGCCAUUCCGCGUGAGUGAAGAAGGCCUUCGGGUUGUAAAGCUCUUUCAGCCGGAACGAAACGGUAUUCCUUAAUACGGGAUGCUAAUGACGGUACCGGCRGAAGAAGCACCGGCUAACUACGUGCCAGCAGCCGCGGUAAUACGUAGGGUGCGAGCGUUAAUCGGAAUUACUGGGCGUGAAGCGUGCGCAGGCGGAUUGUUAAGCAAGAUGUGAAAUCCCCGGGCUUAACCUGGGAAUGGCAUUUUGAACUGGCAGUCUAGAGUGUGUCAGAGGGGGGUGGAAUUCCACGUGUAGCAGUGAAAUGCGUAGAUAUGUGGAGGAACACCAAUGGCGAAGGCAGCCCCCUGGGAUAACACUGACGCUCAUGUACGAAAGCGUGGGUAGCAAACAGGAUUAGAUACCCUGGUAGUCCACGCCCUAAACGAUGUCAACUGGUUGUUGGGGGAGUGAAAUCCCUUAGUAACGAAGCUAACGCGUGAAGUUGACCGCCUGGGGAGUACGGUCGCAAGAUUAAAACUCAAAUGAAUUGACGG